AGUCACUGACAUUAGAUACCCGCGUAGUCCAGGGUGUAAACGCUGCAGACUUGGUGUUGGAAGUCCUUUGGGGGCAUUCAGUGCCGGAGAGAAGUUGUUAAGUCUGCUACUUGGGGAGUACGUCCGCAAGGAUGAAACUUAAAGGAAUUGGCGGGGGAGCACCGCAACGGGAGGAGCGUGCGGUUUAAUUGGAUUCAGCACCGUAAAACUCACCAGGGAAGACUGUUACAUGAAAGCCGAGAUGAAGACUCUGCUAGAUUUUCAG
This 265-nucleotide ribosomal RNA is filed under the name uncultured archaeon. RNAcentral's name for it is "partial 16S ribosomal RNA". It matches the Rfam family "Archaeal small subunit ribosomal RNA", at positions 716 to 982 of the family's 1478-position model. The record is from RNAcentral.